UUUAAAACCUUUUGAUGUUUUUAGAGCCGCCCCUGUGGCACAUGGAAGUUCCGGGGCUGGGGGUCUCAUCGGAGCUGCAGCUGCUGCACGGGGGCUCCUUGAUGGACGGUUCCGAGCCGCCGUUUGUGGGGAGUCUCACGCGCCCCGGCCUGUGCUUUCCUUGCAGCACGUGGACGAGUGGAACAUUGGCCGGCUCAGGACCAUCCUGGACCUGGUGGAGAAGGAGAGCGGCAUCACCAUCGAGGGCGUGAACACGCCCUACCUGUACUUCGGCAUGUGGAAGACGUCCUUCGCCUGGCACACCGAGGACAUGGACCUGUACAGCAUCAACUACCUCCACUUCGGGGAGCCCAAGUCCUGGCCUGAGGCAUUUCUUAGAGGCAGACUUCCAAGACUGGAGUCGCUCCUUCAGCUGAUAGAAAGCUUUCUUUUCCUCAUGGAAAAAAUACUUGGUGAGCAGCAGUGUGUGCUUAACCCAAGAGGGGACGCAAGGCCACUGGGCAGCCACGCCUUGCUCUCCACCGUGGCCGCAGUCUGGCUGGGGAGACAGACAUGUUCUCCCGCCCUGCCUGGGCCCACCCGUCUGUCUCAGCGUGUUAGCCAAGGCGCCGCCUUCAGCAGCGAGCAUGAGGCGGGAGGUGCCACCCUCACAGAUAGGAGGCUGGCCAGGGGGUGGAGUGGCACGGCCGCCCUGAUGGGGAACCGUGGGUGUGAUGGGGCCACACAGGAAGAUGCGUGAGCGUGGGGUGGAGGAGGUGACUGCUGAGCUGAGACCUGGCAGCUGGGGACGUGCUGGGUGGGGGGAGUGGGGGGGUCACGGAGACGGAGGGAAGUGCGUCUGGGUGGUGGCAACAGCGUGUGCGAAGACUGCAUCGAGAGCGCACGGUGUCGUGAGUACCUAGAGGAAGGAGGCCCCUUGUGGUUUGGGUGCCGAGUGUAAGGAUGGAGGAGCCAGGAGGCUGGAGGGGCCGCCAUGGCCGAGUCGGGGGGAGUCGAGGAAACUGCAUCCAUUUCCAUUCUAGCAUCUUCAGCCGCAUCCUUCCCCACGGGUUUUCUUUUCUCCUGUCAAAUGCUUUCCAGUUUCCCAUCUCGGUGGGGGGGCCCUUUUGAGCCUGUUCACCCCCGAACCACUGUCCGGUUAGUUCCUUCCUUAGAUGGCUGGACCUCUGGACUCUAGCUCUUGUUGGUCGCCGUGUUGACUCCAGCAAGCUCUGAUCUGAAUUGGAUUGUCUCUUGCUGGUGGGAGAGGUUUUCUAGUUACUGUGUAUACUUUUUAGGUCGUCCGAAGUGGUUCCUCCAGAGACUUCUGUGCAAGGUUGCCCGAUAGAUCCCAGAGUCCUUUAGGUGACAAACGUUUUCCUCAGCUCCUGUGUGAUAAAGCUGUUUGGGGUGGGAAGGCUUUGUUGUCGUGGAGUUCUGUUUAGAAUGGAUUUUAAAGGUAAAAUAG
Molecule: long non-coding RNA, 1447 nt
Filed under: Sus scrofa (pig)
Lineage: Eukaryota; Metazoa; Chordata; Mammalia; Artiodactyla; Suidae
Description: lncRNA (ENSSSCG00060023591.1)
Source: RNAcentral